GAUGCCCUUUUAAAAGGGUGAGGAAACCACUGGUGGCCCAUUGACUCGUAAGUGUAGGUAAUGUGCUACAUGAGAGGCAAGACUUGGCAAACACCAUAAGAGUCUCUGGCCCAAUGAGUGGAGUUUGAUAGUAAUUCUAGCUUCAAGU
Myotis daubentonii (Daubenton's bat) is the source of this 148-nucleotide small nucleolar RNA. NCBI's taxonomy places the organism in Eukaryota, Metazoa, Chordata, Mammalia, Chiroptera, Vespertilionidae. The record is from RefSeq and is a predicted model, not a curated record.